RNAcentral lists this ribosomal RNA (535 nucleotides) under uncultured bacterium. RNAcentral's name for it is "bacterial SSU rRNA". It matches the Rfam family "Bacterial small subunit ribosomal RNA", at positions 1 to 525 of the family's 1533-position model. The record is from RNAcentral.
CUUAGAGUUUGAUCAUGGCUCAGGACGAACGCUGGCGGCGUGCUUAACACAUGCAAGUCGAGCGGAAAGGCUUCCUUCGGGAAGUACUCGAGCGGCGAACGGGUGAGUAACACGUGGAUAAUCAACCUCUUGCUCUGGAAUACCCCGGGGAAACUCGGAUCAAUGCCAGAUAAAGUGCGGUGCUGUCGGGCGCCGUACCAAAGAUAGCUUCGGCCUUCGGCGAGAGACGAGUCCGCGGCCCAUUAGCUAGUUGGCGGGGUAAUGGCCCACCAAGGCUACGAUGGGUAGCUGGUCUGAGAGGAUGAUCAGCCACACUGGGACUGAGACACGGCCCAGACUCCUACGGGAGGCAGCAGUGGGGAAUCUUGCGCAAUGGGCGAAAGCCUGACGCAGCAACGCCGCGUGCGGGAAGACGGCCUUCGGGUUGUAAACCGCUUUCAGGGGAGACGAAGCUUCCAAGGUUAAUAGCUUUGCGGAGUGACGGUAUCUUCAGAAGAAGUCCCGGCUAACUACGUGCCAGCAGCCGCGGUACCCA